This 497-nucleotide ribosomal RNA is filed under the name uncultured bacterium. Its description in RNAcentral is "partial 16S ribosomal RNA". It matches the Rfam family "Bacterial small subunit ribosomal RNA", at positions 28 to 507 of the family's 1533-position model. The record is from RNAcentral.
GAUGAACGCUGGCGGCGUGCCUAAUACAUGCAAGUCGAGCGAACAGACGAGGAGCUUGCUCCUCUUACGUUAGCGGCGGACGGGUGAGUAACACGUGGAUAACCUACCUAUAAGACUGGGAUAACUUCGGGAAACCGGAGCUAAUACCGGAUAAUAUAUUGAACCGCAUGGUUCAAUAGUGAAAGACGGUUUUGCUGUCACUUAUAGAUGGAUCCGCGCCGCAUUAGCUAGUUGGUAAGGUAACGGCUUACCAAGGCGACGAUGCGUAGCCGACCUGAGAGGGUGAUCGGCCACACUGGAACUGAGACACGGUCCAGACUCCUACGGGAGGCAGCAGUAGGGAAUCUUCCGCAAUGGGCGAAAGCCUGACGGAGCAACGCCGCGUGAGUGAUGAAGGUCUUCGGAUCGUAAAACUCUGUUAUUAGGGAAGAACAAAUGUGUAAGUAACUAUGCACGUCUUGACGGUACCUAAUCAGAAAGCCGCGGCUAACUACGUG